Molecule: long non-coding RNA, 462 nt
Filed under: Bos indicus x Bos taurus (hybrid cattle)
Lineage: Eukaryota; Metazoa; Chordata; Mammalia; Artiodactyla; Bovidae
Description: lncRNA (ENSBIXG00005009875.1)
Source: RNAcentral
AGUAAUCUUGCUGUCUCUAUUUCAAAAAACAUACUAUUUUAUACUUUUGUUUUUAUUUUAAUAGAUGUAAAUUGGUAAUAUUGGUGGAGGACCAAGAAAGAGCAUUUUCAAGCACCUUCCAUGUGAGAGACUGCUGGAGAGAACUGAUUUACUGAGACGACAUGGCAUUUAAGCUGAAAAAAGAGGAGGAUGUGGAGUCAUUGCAAGAAGGAGCGACAAAACAGUGCAGUGAGACAGAGAUGAGAAUGAGAAUCUGCCAAGCACUAGGAAACAAUAUUAAAUGAGCACCUUGAGGAAAUUGCAAAGUAGUUUCUACUUUAUCAGGAUUUUCAAUUCCAGGUAUCUUACUUUGGAACUUUUGUAUUACUUUGAUAUCACUUAUAAAAUGUUCCAUUUCUGAAACUGCUAGAUCCACAGAAAUUAGUAGCCUUUUUGGGGCAACGUAUAAAAGGAAGACCAUAG